UACAGAGGUCUCAAGCGUUGUUCGGAUUCAUUGGGCGUAAAGGGUGCGUAGGUGGCGGGGUAAGUCAGGGGUGAAAUCCGGCAGCUCAACUGUCGAAGUGCCUUUGAUACUGAGGAGCUCGAGGGAGGUAGGGGUGUGUGGAACUUCCGGUGGAGCGGUGAAAUGCGUUGAUAUCGGAAGGAACGCCGGUGGCGAAAGCGACGCACUGGACCUCUUCUGACGCUGAGGCGCGAAAGCCAGGGGAGCAAACGGG
This 253-nucleotide ribosomal RNA is filed under the name uncultured bacterium. RNAcentral's name for it is "partial 16S ribosomal RNA". It matches the Rfam family "Bacterial small subunit ribosomal RNA", at positions 524 to 776 of the family's 1533-position model. The record is from RNAcentral.